CGUUGAAGCACCGGUUCCCGUUUGAUCAAUGAAGCUAAGCAACGUCGAGCCUGGUUAGUAUUUAGAUGGGUAAUCGCUUGGAAAUCCCAGUUGAUG
Molecule: non-coding RNA, 96 nt
Organism: Acanthosepion pharaonis
Lineage: Eukaryota; Metazoa; Mollusca; Cephalopoda; Sepiida; Sepiidae
Source: the annotation of a GenBank genome assembly